RNAcentral lists this non-coding RNA (148 nucleotides) under Sporobacter termitidis. Its description in RNAcentral is "MoCo sequence". It matches the Rfam family "Molybdenum/Tungsten riboswitch aptamer (Moco RNA motif)". Lineage: Bacteria; Bacillati; Bacillota; Clostridia; Eubacteriales; Oscillospiraceae. The record is from RNAcentral. RNAcentral also lists the same sequence under 1 other name.
AUUUAAUAAAUGCUUCGAGAUUCUCCGGCUAAGGGAAACUAUGCCGGUUGAUCCUGAGUUUUGACUCACAGGGUAACGAUGGAAACGCCGUUGCCUCCCAUGACGCAGGAUAGUAUCCUGCCAGGAAAGAGGCCUGCAAAUUCGCUGC